RNAcentral lists this non-coding RNA (106 nucleotides) under unclassified sequences. RNAcentral describes it as "c-di-GMP sequence". It matches the Rfam family "c-di-GMP-II-GAG riboswitch aptamer". The record is from Rfam by way of RNAcentral.
CGACGGCACGGAGGCACGGAGCCGAGAGGCUCCGCCAGCGGAGCGUUCCACCUCGGUCGCCUAGACGGCUCGCGCAGGGCCAAUGGCGAGACCGACCCUUCCGUAU